CACCCAGGGAGUAAUUAAGUACGGCAUAUGCAUUAAUUGUAAUAUUUCAUAUAUGCACGCAUGACAGGCCUGCGAUGUGAUUUGCAAUCACACAGUUAUGGUACAGUGCAUAUAUUUAUAUAUAUAAAGAAUGCGUACAAUCACCUUUUAAGUAUACGGUGAUUAGUAACCAUAAUAGUAUAUAUGCAAAAAUUGUCUUGGCAAGAGGGUAAAUAAUUAUAUAAUAUGUUUAAAUUUUGGACUGAUUUUAGUCAAAAGGCAGGCAACAAGUACAUGUCACCUUUUUUAUUGACAAUCAAUACCAUGAUAUAUUAUAGUAGCAAAUUGUACAUAAUAGAUAUACAUGAGCUGACUGCAGUGAUUACAAAAUAAAGUCUAAAAGAAACGAGUAGAUUUUUGAGAUCUUCAAACCCUUUCUUCUUUCAUGACACAAUUUUGUAUUUUUCUAAAGGCGGCCAUAGGAACGUAACAUAAAUAUCAAACCAUAAAUCUAUAAAUACCAACUAGGGUCCUAUUAUUGUUUUAAAUUUGAUCCGCAAUGCCAAGGCUGAGAUACACACACGCCAACACGGUAUUCUAAGGACAAAAAACCAAACAACCAGGUUGACAUCGUUGGGAGUCGAGAGUACGAAUCACCAUUGCCGAGAACGUAUCAGCCGGGACAGAUAUUGGGAGGACAAUCCUCCACGCAUCGACCAUGAGAAAAAAAAUCCAAAACCAAUCUGGCAAAUAAAGAUCUGAAGGACCAUACUUAAGACAAAUUUAAUCUUCCAGCACCACCAUUGACAUCGGGAAGAAGAUCUUGUCGUCGAACAAAGGAACGAAGAUUAUUUAUUAUAGACGAUGCCAUCUCCAAAUAAGAAGACGACUACCGAAACCCCAAACCAAUGUACUAAAAAUACUUCUAUUGUUAAGAAUUUCACUCAUAGAUCGGGUUCCCCACCCCUCCUAACACCGGCAAGGCCGGACGGAGGAGGUGGAACCGAUCUAUGGUGGAAGCGGAGGUGGUGGUGGCGGCUAGGUCUUUGGGGGGAUGAGGCGGCGUAAAAGCAGCUAGGGUAGGGGCCCUGGUAACAAUGCUAAGCUUGCCCAUCUGGUUUUACACAUGGAAGAUGGCUGGAUGAAUGGCGAGUUGUUCUGGACCAUCCAAUACAAUAAGCUACGCGGGAUGGGCGAUCGCUCGUUGUGUCCACGUCGGCAGCGCUACGAGACAAAUAAAAUCGUGGAUUAGGAAAAAAGCGUGGCCGAUUAAGCCUGUUGCGCGUCCCUACACAAAAAUAUCCCCGAAUCGCUUGCAUUGCAAGCUCAGCCUUCGUCUCCUCUGUUUCCCAAUUCUUCUGCGGCCACUGACCCCUCAACCCUGCCGCCUCCUCUGCUAUCCUUCCGUCACACCCCAUGCCCGUCCUCGUCUCUUUCCAUCCGCUCCGCUACCCUGUGCCGUCGGCCUCCCUCUCAGACGCUCAACCCGACAAACGCGACUGAGAGCAAGAUCUGGGCCACCGCGCCUCGUCAUCGCCUUCAUCUUCCGCUGUGCGCCUCAACGUUGGCUACAGGGACAAAGGCCUUGCUGGCUCACACACAAUAGGUAAGCGGCCAGCUGUGGAGGUGCAACAGCGGCCGACGGCGGUCGACCAGAUCGGCGCGUCACGUGGCGGACACAAAGGCUGUCACAUGUAGAGCAGUGAAAGGACGGCUUGGGGGUCGUGUGAGGUCUGGAGAACCGGUGGUUGGUGCUGCGCGAUCUGGAUGGGCGCGACCUGCGUCAGUUGGAGGCAAGGUGAAGACGUUGCCACGACGCCGUCGUAGAUCCUCAUUGUGCCUCCGGGAAAGGAUCUCUUCGAGGAUCCCCUCUUGUCCACGGGUCCGCGACCGAGGUGCUCGUAAAUUUCAUAUUCCAUUCCACUCCUGGAAACAUGUACCUUUUCAUUUGAUGGAGUUCUGUUCUUAUGUAAUUUUAAGUCAUAUAGGGAGGACUCGAUUUAAAGGAAAGAAUUGCAAGGAGUUGUUUUUUAGGAUGUUCCCGAGGCACUAAAGAACUCGCACUAUCACUGUAUGAAGGUAUGUAUAUAUUUGAUCAAACUCUUCUGAAAUGUGAAUGCUUUUGAGGCAUCAAACUAGAUUGUCGUUGGAUGUGUUUGUUCUUCUUACUGCGUAAAUGAGUGAUUUAGGUCAGAAAGUUGACUGCUGAGCUAGAGUGUCAAGGACUAUACCAUGACAGAACUCUAAAUCAUUCAGAAAAAACAGUGUACUUCUGCAACAUGGCCAACCAUUGAGAUAGUCAUGAAACAUCCAGUUGCUCUAUGGUUUGUCUGUUAUAAUUUCAUAUGCAGAAGGACUGAUGCACGUAAGCACUGUCGGUUUGAAUGUAGCAGAAUGAUGCUACAGAAUGCUUGGUUCUUCACCAUACUAAGAAAUCAAAUUGUUUUUCGGCUGGUAGGUUGUCAAAAGUCGUAAAUGUAGUGAAGCAUAGAGUAUUAGUUGAACAUGGUAGAUGUAACGGAGCUCUAUUAUACUUAAAAGAGAAUAAUAAAAAAUGUGAGGAGAUCAAGAAGUUGAUAGUUGAGCUGGACUGUUUGAGGAAUUGGGUUCAGGAGCUCAAAGCCAACAACAACCGGGGCUUCAAAAAAUAUGUAAGCUCUCCUGUAGAUUGGUUGCAUGUUCUUUAAUUAGCUAUCGUUGUAGUCAUUUAUCAUUUUCUUGUCCAUAUGUUUGUCACUAAUAUUAGUAUACGGAAGGAUUUCCUGUACAUGAUGUUUGUUUGAGAAAAAACCUUUAGUUAUGGUUUCUCCAUGUGAACUAUUCUGACGGAAAUAUGUCAAUCAGGUACUCCACUAUUAUGCAGCUCUAAAAGUAAUUAUUUGUCUUUAGAGACUACUUUGUGUCGAUUCAGUUAUAUCUUUAUUCACCUUUUUCAACUAGGCUGAUCCAUACUCUUAUGGAACUAAUUUUGGUGUGCCAUAGGUAAUAGGUGGUGAAAUCUCUUCCCUCGAACUGAUGAAAAUAUUUCCCUUUUUUCCUUGCAGCCUUACUAAUUAGUUUUGCAACUCUGCUCCUACAGUAUACAUUUAACCAGUGAUGGAUGUGGAUACACAUCUGACAUAUGUUUCUGUUGUACCAGUGUUUCCUGUUAAGAAGCUUAUGCCAUAUGAUGGCAGUAUUAACCCCUUCAUGAAAAUGUGUUUAAAAGAAGCACUUGCCUUUGGAAUUAAAGAAGAUCGGUUUAUGACACGGACCAGAGAUCAUACAAAGGGGUGAGGACCCAACCAAGAGACUGUUGAUGAGAUCAAUGACACCAUAUGGAUGGACAGGCAGAAGCGGAGCAUCUCACGAAGCAGCCAACGAACAAGAGGAGCAAAGACAUCAUCUCUUGCAUCGCCGUAAACAUCCGCUGCUAGCAGUGUUUCAGCCGGUGAACAGGAGCAAAGACAACAACUGUUGUGUCCUCAUAAACUUACACUACUGACCGAGCUUCAACCUGCUAGCCCCUCAUGACUACAAUUGGUUCUAUGGCAGAUUGGUUUUACAACUUUCUGUUGUGCAGGAGCAAAGACAACAACUGCCUUGUCGUCGUAUACUUCCACUACUGGACGAGCUUCAACCUGCUAGCCCCUCAUGUCUACAAUUGGUUCUAUGUCAGAUUGGUUUUACAACUUCCUAUUGUUAUUCGUAUGAUAUAGUGUUUAAUCUGGUUAGAAAUAAUCCAAUGCCCAAGGGGAUCAAGGUCUCUGAAAUAUUGUUAUUUGUUCAAAGUUGUUUGCUUGCUA
Molecule: long non-coding RNA, 3764 nt
Organism: Hordeum vulgare subsp. vulgare (domesticated barley)
Lineage: Eukaryota; Viridiplantae; Streptophyta; Magnoliopsida; Poales; Poaceae
Exons: 4
Source: RefSeq, a predicted model, not a curated record